This 589-nucleotide ribosomal RNA is filed under the name Fusarium babinda. RNAcentral describes it as "partial large subunit ribosomal RNA". It matches the Rfam family "Eukaryotic large subunit ribosomal RNA", at positions 80 to 695 of the family's 3401-position model. Lineage: Eukaryota; Fungi; Ascomycota; Sordariomycetes; Hypocreales; Nectriaceae. The record is from RNAcentral.
CUAGUAACGGCGAGUGAAGCGGCAACAGCUCAAAUUUGAAAUCUGGCUCUCGGGCCCGAGUUGUAAUUUGUAGAGGAUACUUUUGAUGCGGUGCCUUCCGAGUUCCCUGGAACGGGACGCCAUAGAGGGUGAGAGCCCCGUCUGGUUGGAUGCCAAAUCUCUGUAAAGUUCCUUCAACGAGUCGAGUAGUUUGGGAAUGCUGCUCUAAAUGGGAGGUAUAUGUCUUCUAAAGCUAAAUACCGGCCAGAGACCGAUAGCGCACAAGUAGAGUGAUCGAAAGAUGAAAAGCACUUUGAAAAGAGAGUUAAAAAGUACGUGAAAUUGUUGAAAGGGAAGCGUUUAUGACCAGACUUGGGCUUGGUUAAUCAUCUGGGGUUCUCCCCAGUGCACUUUUCCAGCUCAGGCCAGCAUCAGUUUUCCCCGGGGGAUAAGGCGGAGGGAAUGUGGCUCUCUUCGGGGAGUGUUAUAGCCCACCGUGUAAUACCCUGGGGGGGACUGAGGUUCGCGCAUCUGUAAGGAUGCUGGCGGAAUGGUCCUCAACGACCCGUCUUGACACACGGACCAAGGAGCGUCUACUAUGCCAGUGUCG